GAUGAACGCUGGCGGCGUGCCUAAUACAUGCAAGUCGAGCGAACGGACGAGAAGCUUGCUUCUCUGAUGUUAGCGGCGGACGGGUGAGUAACACGUGGAUAACCUACCUAUAAGACUGGGAUAACUUCGGGAAACCGGAGCUAAUACCGGAUAAUAUUUUGAACCGCAUGGUUCAAAAGUGAAAGACGGUCUUGCUGUCACUUAUAGAUGGAUCCGCGCUGCAUUAGCUAGUUGGUAAGGUAACGGCUUACCAAGGCAACGAUGCAUAGCCGACCUGAGAGGGUGAUCGGCCACACUGGAACUGAGACACGGUUCAGACUCCUACGGGAGGCGGCAGUAGGGAAUCUUCCGCAAUGGGCGAAAGCCUGACGGAGCAACGCCGCGUGAGUGAUGAAGGUCUUCGGAUCGUAAGACUCUGUUAUUAGGGAAGAACAUAUGUGUAAGUAACUGUGCACAUCUUGACGGUACCUAAUCAGAAAGCCACGGCUAACUACGUG
RNAcentral lists this ribosomal RNA (497 nucleotides) under uncultured bacterium. Its description in RNAcentral is "partial 16S ribosomal RNA". It matches the Rfam family "Bacterial small subunit ribosomal RNA", at positions 28 to 507 of the family's 1533-position model. The record is from RNAcentral.